AAGUAAACUAAAACGUAUGAACAGAUGAGGUGUAAGUUGUGGACUGUCCAAGCAUCUACAAACUGAUCCCUCAGCAACAGCAGGUUGAUUGACUUAUAGCAUGAGUUGCUGUUAGCAGUAUUGGAGAUCAUCACUUUGCAAGACUUUGAGAGGGGGAGUCAGUCAUUUCACAAAAAUUGAAAGAUUUUUGCUAUUUUGACUAUCCAAAAGCAAUAUCUGAUGUUAAGAUGAUAAUUUUGGGUAAGUACCCAAGAUCCAGUAGACCGGAACAGGUUUGGAUCUUAGAUUGUUAUAUUGUGUUUUGUGGAAGAGUGAAAAAUUGCAAUAAUGUCCAAACAAUCAAGAAGAAUCUGGCAAUGGCAUUAAUUCUUAAAGAUGAAGAGGAACAUUGUAUUUCGACCCAGUUAUCCAACACAGGCACAGGACUUCAACAGACUUUCUUCAUCUAAGAACAGAAAGAACUUGAAAAAUGUGUUGCAAGACCUUUAUAUUCAAGUUGCACACCUCUUAUUUGCACUGAAGACACAAUUUGUAUUUCCUUUCUUAAAUUUUCCUUUGGUUGAUGAGUACAUAUUGGUGUAAAGUGUUGUUGAGAAGAUAGUUCAAGCAGAUUCUUUGACACUGAUGUUGGUUAGAUGGACUAAUGUGAAGGAAAACCUCUAAAUCAGUUUGGUUGCACAACUCGUGAACCAGUGUUUGGUUUUUUUUUGUAUCAAAAUCAUCCAAUCAUAAACUGAAACUUUCUAUGUUAAGUUUAUGGCUAAAGUCUUCAAUGAUGCCAUGAAUCAGGAAGAUAAUUUAAAAGCUGCAUGGGAAACAUUUAAAGAAAAAAUAUUGUCUCUUCAUCGUCUAUGGUUGUCUAACUCAUGCCUUGAACCUGUUUACUAAGGACAGUUGCAAAAGUAAAAUUUUGAACAACUACAAACUGUUAAGCAGAUUAGAAAUUUCUGUCAGGAAGAACACAUCCAGUAAAAAAUACCCAAACAUAGUCAACUAGAAAAAGAAGAAAAGAGAUUGCAUUAUUAUGAUUGGUGGAUACUUAUUAAGGAUCAUUUACCAGGUGCUUGAAAAUACAACUUAAACUAUCAAGCAUUUGCAGGUGGCUGUUAUAGACCCACAUGUUAGUCACCAUUCCCUUUCAAACCUCCAAAAAGUAUAUUCUGGAUGAUGAUUUCUAGGUACAAUUUUAGCUUUGUUGCCUCCAAUCUUGCAUGCAAUCAUCAAGAUUGAAAGUGACAACUGUUGCUGUCUCAUGUGGUUCCUGUCUUAAAAAGAUAGGGCAGCACUGUAAAGACCUUUUGUAAUCAUCACACUUGUCAACAAUAAUUAAAAUUACAUCAUUCUUUACUAUCCCAGUAUAAGUUUCCAGAAAGGGAAAUAUAUAUUAGUAUUUCAAAUGUGUUUUGCUCAAUAACUGAGCUCAUCAGGUAACCUGAGUUACAACACACGCAGUUUUAAUUGGAAUGUUAUUUAUGUCAGUUGUUUAUGAGACAACAGGUCUUAUUGUGUAGAAUGUUUUAACUCGUGAUAGAAUGUCACAGUAACAUUUUGUAUGCUAAAACCAACAGUGGAAUAAACAGCUAAAUUGUUAUAAUGCACUAUCAUCCCCACCUCCUCCAAAAUGAUGAUCCUGUACAUUGGCAACAGGAAAAAAAAACAGCAGUGUGGAAUGAUAAUAAGAAGCAAAAUCUGGCAGCUGCUUCUGCAAACACCAGAAGGACUAUAGCCAGGGAAAAUCAGGAAGAAGAAAUUAGUGAUGAUGAAGGAUAGAAAAGUAAAAAGUCAAUAAUAACAAAAAAACUCACAGUGACACUAGAGCUAUGGUCCCUGCAUAUUUUCCACACUAAGCCACUUCAGAUGAUGACCAUAAAGCCAAGGACCAAGUCUGAGCUUGUCAUUCCAUAAGUACAGUUUUCAUUGCUCUUGCAAUAUCUAAUCAUAAUGCCUGCCACAAAUCAGACUUUUGAGGGCUUGAAGUGACUUGUAGACAGUGAAUUUGAGCUGUUAAGUCAUUUAUUUCUGUCGUUGUUGUUCAGAAAUUCUGAAACAAAGUGCUCUUAAAAAUUGAAAAAGCACUCUAACAAAAAUGAAAAUAAAUCUUUAUAGUUAUUUAUGCAUCUGCCUCGUAACUUUAUUUAAGGCAAAGUUACUAAGUGAAGAAGUUACUGGUACUAAAUAGCUGUCUAACACUGACAAUAUUUAUUGCUAGCUACGUGUUAAAUAUUCAUUAAGAAAUCUAAAUAUGAAAACGAAAAAUUGUGGAACAUUUGCUACAAAAUAAUUUCUCCAAAACAUCAACAUAUCUUUUUUGUAACACAUUUGAUAUACUGCUACAAGUAUAAUAUUGUGAGCCCUACUUAGGGUAGACUUUCUGUUGUCUUGAUUCCAUGUCUUAGCUGGGUAUGGUUCAAUAUACUGUGACUGUGUAAGAUUAUAAUGACAGCUUAAAAUUGCCACAUUAUGUUUAUUGCAAGCAUAAAUUGGUUGGGUUACAUUAGGUGUCGUUAGCUCAAGAAUGAGCAUAGGUAGUGGAAUAUACUUGAAUUUCUUGUGUCAGCUGUGACCAUUCAAUUCAAAACUGAAAUAAUGAUAGUCUUACAGAAGUCUCUAUCUUCCAUUUGUGCUUCAACCCCCUCAGUUCUGCCAUCUAUGAAAAUGAGUGCCAGAAUACUAUAAUGAUCAAGGUGGAGAGUUUCCUACUUUAGAUGUAAGCCCAAGCAGUUCUGUUUGUAGAGCAUCAACCUUGGAAUACUGCUUUUGAGCUAAAGGUCUUAAAUUCAACCACAGAUAUGGUAGACUUUUAACAUCCUUGUUUUUUAUAUGAGGGGGGUGAGCAUGGUUGGAAAGGUAGCAAUAAAGUAACCUUAUAGUAUUAUCAAAUAAACAUUUUUUUAAAUUAUCUUCUGGAAUUUCCUACAGCAGUAUAACUCAAUAUAAACAUCACAGUCUUGAACAUUGUGUGUUAUAAUAUUAUGUAUCAUGUUAUACAUAUAACAGUAAUAGCUAAGAAAUGCAACUAAUGUAACACUACUCAACUUCUUUAUAUUUAUUUUGAGAAAACAUGACCUAAUACAUUGUAUGAAUUUACAAUUUGAGGUAAAUUUUGUUUUGGAGUAUCAGAAAAUUACUAUCAAAGUAUGUUUUUGGGACAUCACAACAAGUCCAAUUGUGUAUGUGUGUAUAUAUCUUGAAAGAGUGUAAUAUGAAGACAUGAAAAUUAGCUAGCUUAUAAUCUCAAAUUAUGCCCAUACAACAGUAGUUUGAGUUGGUUGUUAUUGGUAUUAUGUUUCUACUUGAACUUUCUGUGAAAGUUAUUCAUAGUUCAUUAUUAACAAGUUUAUACCAAAAAGAAGCAAGAAUUACAGUUUUAAUGCCCUGAACAAGUAGCUUGUUUCACAAUGGUGCAAGUUCUAAAUAUUUUAUUGUGUGGUGGUAUUAGAAACUAUUGACAUAUUUAUUUGGAUUUGUACUGUUGGAUCACACUUGUUUCAGAAGUAGUAUAAGCUUAUAUUUGUGUAUCUGUGUGUGCGUCUUGUUAUCUGUGAUGAAUAGAUUGUUGUUUUUGAUUUACUGUGAGUGUUUUAAGACUUUACUCCGUAAAGCAACCCUUUAUAUAGAUGUAGUAUUGACAAAUCCAAAUUUUACCAUACGUGUAGCUUUACUGAACAGAAGAAGAACAACCAAAGAAAGAGUCUACUGUCACAUUUGUAACAAAACAUUUGGAAGGAAACAAGAUUUGGAUGCUCAUCUGAGCUUACAUCUGCAUAAAUCGUACAGGAAGAAGUAUUACUGCAGUGUUUGUAACAAAGCAUUCUUAUGGAGGAACAAUAUGUAUGCUCAUAGAAAGAAUGUACAUAAAUUAUCCACAAAAUCGUGUUUUUAGUUGAAAUUGUUUCUCUCUUAAUCCAUUGAACUAUUAGAAAAACUAUAUUCAUGCCAAGACUAAAGUUGAACAAUUAAAAAUAAGAUUCUACAGAUUAUUAGGCUUCUAAAGCUAUAUAUGCGACUAUGUAUGUUGUGUGAUAUUAGCAUUUUGAGAACAAGGACACAAGUUACUUUUGUUAGUACAUAUAUUAAGGUGAGGAUAAUUAGUAAACUAAUUAUGAAAAGCUUAAAAUAAUCCAGAGGUUUGUUGUUUGUAAUUUGAAUAGUAGGUUUUAAGGGGAAAAAAUUGUAUAGUUAGACCUGUAGCCAUUGAUCUGUUACUUUUGCAAAUAGUUAUUUUAUCUUUUGAUGUUUAGUUACUGUCAUAUGUCUGUGUUAGGUAAAAAUUUUUUAGCUUGACAUUGAAACUUAUAUGUUGAUUUAUCAUUAACUUGUUCUUCCCAUUUAACAUUAAACGUGGUACAGAGCCUAAUACUAGUGAUGGUACAAUAUUUGUUCUCUAAAAUAAUGAUCACCCUUGAAAAACCAGUACCAGUAAAAAUUCUUCAUUCAGAUUUAGGGAUAUUUUUAUAGCAGUAUAGUUUUAUCAACAUGUGGGCUGUGUGCAGCCUAGUGGUUAGCAUGCCAUGUAUUAAAUCUGCAGUUCCAUGCAUCACAUUUCAUUAUCACAGCAAAAUUACAACAAUAAUAUGCUCUACAUUUCAGGGUUGUUGGUUUGUUAUAAGAGUGAUGGUUAAAUCUCACUAUUCGGUCUGACCAGAGUUGGCAGUAGGUGGUAUUAACUAGCUGCCUUCCCUUUAGUAUGUCACUUCAAAAUUAGGGAUGGCUAGCAUAGAUAGCCUUUGUGUAGCUUUGCAAGAAAUUUCACAAACAAACGUAUCAGCAUAAUGUGAAUUCAGUAAUGAGUACUGAGACAACUCUCUAGCUUCAGGAAUGUAUGGAUAAAGCAAAGUUUAAUUUGUGAAUAUGAUGUUCAUCUUAUGUGUGUAAAUGACAGGAGUGCAUUACGAUGUACUAUUAAUAGUAGUAUUUUUAUAAUCUUUACAUAUAGGCAGUGAUAGAGCUAGGAUUACAAAAAUUAAAUUGCCAUGAACUAUUUAGAAGUUACAUAAGUCCUUGAUGUCAGGUAUUUAGUUAAAGUUCAACUUAGUAUGAGACUAUCUACGCAACUUAGAAUAAAGGCAUAUUAAUGGAAACUAGCUAGUACUAAUAUGUAAAAUUUAAAAUGUAUCUGCUUAAAAUGAUUAUAAAAGUAUUAAAAUUUCAAUUUAACACAUUAAAUUUAAAAAGACGAUAAAGUUUUAUUUAUAGGGGUGCACACUAAACUUUGGGGGUACCAUGUAUCUUUGUGAUUAUGCCACCACCAUUGUGUUUUAGUCAGAAAUCUAAAUGAACUUCUAAAGAAUGAUUAGUGCAGUUGGAGAAUCAUUGUUAUAUACUAGGCAACUUACUCUGAUGUUUGAUUGAAAUUCUGCUUGAACAGUAAAACUGCAUGUAUGUACAUAACAUUAUCUAUGUUUAGAGUUGUAUAAAAAUGAUAAGUUGAAAAACAUACUUGUAAAUAGGAUUUCAUAUACAAUACUAUACCUCUGAUUGGACAAUAAGUUAAUAUUAAGUACUGUCUUUCUAAGCUUUUUUCCAGUCAUUUCCAGUGAAUCAUUAUGAGAUGUAGCUCAUAAGUUCUCAUUCUUUGAACAAUCAUGAUAAUUUCAGUUCAUCCUUUUGUCUGUAUUAAAUGUCAUUCUUAUAUAAACAACAAUUCUGUCAAGUUGAUUACUCAGUUCUUAUCUUUUGUACUACAAUAUAUUAAACGUAUUGAACGUAGGGUAAUAAAUGUUUAUCAUACGAGAAUACAUUAAUUGAAAAAAAAAUCCAUACUUUCACCAGUUGGAUGGCCUUGUACAUUAUAAAAAUGUAAACACAUAAACAGAAGUUACAGACACACAUAUACACAGGGUGAUUCUGAAGCCUAUUGAUAAGCAGAUGUGUUUCAGAAAUAGAGGUAUUGAAAGAUAAUUGUUAGUGGUAUAGAAUGAAAUGUUGUGGGCCUACCAUGUAACAAUAUCAUUUAAGGUAAUUCAAAAUAAUUUGGUUUGGAAAAGUUAUUAAUAUGAAUUUUAUGUUCAGUAUAUCAAUGGCAAAGGUGUAGGUAAUAACAAAUUAAACACUUUUAAACCAAAAGUUAUUAAAUUCCCUCUUCCUGAGCACAUUAGAUGUAGGCAUAAAAAUAUUCUUUCCAUGCAUGUUUAGUUGUGCCACAGAUUAUCAAAAUCCAACUAUAGUAAAGGUUUAAGUUGCAAAAUCAGACUUUUUAUAAACAGAUUAUUGCAUCUUUCUGAAAGGCUCAGUAGAUUAAAUAUUAUCGAAAUAAAUGCUCUUUACAUAAGGUAGCACACAAACAGUUGUGCUGUAGCUGUUAUGAAAUAAUUUAAGAGUACAGAAUUUAGUUGAAUAAUAGUUUAACAUGGUCCUACUGUAUGUUGUGAGUGUCAACAGAAUGACCAGGAUGCUGCCACAAUGUAUGGUGACCAGUUCCUCAGUGAAUGUCAUCUUACACAUCAGAUGAGAGGAAAUGUGUCUACGUAGCUGCACAUUUCAGGUUCAUUUAUGCAUAGAUGCUGUGUGAGAGGAUGAAGGACAGCAACUAGUUUCAGCAAUGUAGCUGCCAUACUUGCAUUUGUCAUAUUUCAAUAACACUUUGAACACAGCUGUUGGCCAUUUGACACUAUAACUAGUGUUGAUGUGGAUUGAUCUUGGUAAUUUUAUGUUUAAAAUAUUUAAUUUAUUAUGGUCUACAUCUUUAUGAUUGAAAUUUUUAUUUUAUGAUGCAUGUUAAUAAAAGUUUUGAAGAACA
This 6739-nucleotide long non-coding RNA is filed under the name Limulus polyphemus (Atlantic horseshoe crab). RNAcentral's name for it is "uncharacterized LOC106464382, transcript variant X4". Lineage: Eukaryota; Metazoa; Arthropoda; Merostomata; Xiphosura; Limulidae. The record is from RNAcentral.